RNAcentral lists this long non-coding RNA (224 nucleotides) under Physcomitrium patens. Its description in RNAcentral is "long non-coding RNA (PPAT_LNC007758)". Lineage: Eukaryota; Viridiplantae; Streptophyta; Bryopsida; Funariales; Funariaceae. The record is from RNAcentral.
UUAUCAACUUAAUUGUUAAGAGGUGUGCAAAUUUUGAGUUAAAAUCAAUGGUUCAUUUAUUAGUCAUUGAGGUUUAAAUCUGCUAUAGAAAUUACUUGGAAUUAUUUAGGAUUUGUUUAGGAUUUAUUUAGGUUUUGUUAAAUUUUUUUUAAGAUUUGAUUAGGAUUUGAUUAAGAUUUUUUUAGGAUUUGAUUAAGAUUCUUUUAGGAUUUGAUUAGAAUUUG